UACGUAGGUGACAAGCGUUGUCCGGAUUUACUGGGCGUAAAGAGCGCGCAGGCGGUCGUUCAAGUCGAGUGUGAAAGCCCCCGGCUCAACUGGGGAGGGUCACUCGAUACUGAUCGACUGGAAGGCAGGAGAGGGUAGUGGAAUUCCCGGUGUAGUGGUGAAAUGCGUAGAUAUCGGGAGGAACACCAGUGGCGAAGGCGACUACCUGGCCUGUUCUUGACGCUGAGGCGCGAAAGCUAGGGGAGCAAACGGGG
Molecule: ribosomal RNA, 254 nt
Filed under: uncultured bacterium
Lineage: Bacteria
Description: partial 16S ribosomal RNA
Rfam family: Bacterial small subunit ribosomal RNA
Source: RNAcentral